GAUGAACGCUAGCUACAGGCUUAACACAUGCAAGUCGAGGGGAAACGACAUCGAAAGCUUGCUUUUGAUGGGCGUCGACCGGCGCACGGGUGAGUAACGCGUAUCCAACCUGCCCAUCACUUGGGGAUAACCUUGCGAAAGUAAGACUAAUACCCAAUGAUAUCUCUAGAAGACAUCUGAAAGAGGUUAAAGAUUUAUCGGUGAUGGAUGGGGAUGCGUCUGAUUAGCUUGUUGGCGGGGUAACGGCCCACCAAGGCAACGAUCAGUAGGGGUUCUGAGAGGAAGGUCCCCCACAUUGGAACUGAGACACGGUCCAAACUCCUACGGGAGGCAGCAGUGAGGAAUAUUGGUCAAUGGGCGAGAGCCUGAACCAGCCAAGUAGCGUGCAGGAAGACGGCCCUAUGGGUUGUAAACUGCUUUUAUAAGGGAAUAAAGUGAGAGUCGUGACUCUUUUUGUAUGUACCUUAUGAAUAAGGACCGGCUAAUUCCGUG
RNAcentral lists this ribosomal RNA (492 nucleotides) under uncultured bacterium. RNAcentral's name for it is "partial 16S ribosomal RNA". It matches the Rfam family "Bacterial small subunit ribosomal RNA", at positions 28 to 507 of the family's 1533-position model. The record is from RNAcentral.